Bos taurus (domestic cattle) is the source of this 2397-nucleotide long non-coding RNA. Lineage: Eukaryota; Metazoa; Chordata; Mammalia; Artiodactyla; Bovidae. The record is from Ensembl.
GCUCUACACUGGCACUGGAGGAAAAAUGACAUUUGCCAUGAAGUCCCUGACCUCAAGCGUAUUACAGUCUGGUCAAGAUGACUAGGUUCGUCUUGCCUUGAAUUGACCUGAUGUCUCCUCCCUCUAAGCUUAUGUCACCAAAAUGUAGGUAGACACAAAUUCAGCGGAUGCCAAAUACCACCACUUCAACUGCAAAACAAUUAUCAUUGGCCAAGAACUUGUGAUGAGAAAAUUCCCUGAGCUAGAUAAUCUUCUUAACACACAUUUAGCACUUCCCAAACAUAGGCUCAGUUAGAAAGUUCCAUCCAAGGAAGAAUGUCUGUCCUACUUUGAAAAGGAAAAUGGGACGACCCUACCAUGGCAAGAACUCCGGGCUCCUUUGGCUAAAAUUAGGGUUUCUCUAAACCAGAGCCCUUGGAUCCCCAGGGAACAGGAAAGCCGUAAUGGUUCUCAGGCUUCUCUUACUUUUCUCCUUUCUCUCUUUCCCUCCCUCCAUUGCUUUCUUCUCUCCUUUUUAAUUUUCCACAUCUUAAUAACUCUUCUUGCAUUUUUCUGUGAGAAAGCAAACUACAAAAUGUUUUGGAGGGUGCUGGAGUUUGAUAACACUGGUCGUCUCAGAGUGAUCUGAAACAUAUGAUGGCUAUUAUUUGUGCCUUUGAAAAGUAAAAGUUGGAAACCCCAGUUGAUAUUUCUUAAUAAAUUUCUUUUGGCAGAUAAAGUAUCUUAAGGGUUAGAGGACGACCUGGAGAGUCUGCUUUAAUUCGUGGUAAAUACUGCCCUCCUGUGGACACAUUGGAUAUUACAACCUGUGAAUGCAGCUCCAAGAGAAAAGUUGCUUGAUAAUUUAUUAACUGUUUUCUGCAAAGAGGCCUCUGUGUUUUCUUUCUUUCUUUUUUUUUGAGGAUUUCUUGGCACCCUGAAAAAUUCUGCUUAUUCUUCUGAACUACUUUCCACAUCCCAGGAGCUACAAAAUGUCUGCAGUUCUCUGGCUGUGUGUGUGUGUGUGUGUGUGUGCGCGUUUCAGUUCAGUUCAGGUCAGUUGCUCAGUUGUGUUCAACUCUUUGCCACCCCAUUGACUGCAGCACGCCAGGACUCCCGGAGCUUGCUCAAACCCAUGUCCAUGGAGUUGGUGAUGCCAUCCAACCAUCUCAUCCUCUGUCGUCCCCUUGUCCUCCUGCCCUCAAUCUUUCCCAGCAUCAGGGUCUUUUCCAGUGAGUCAGCUCUUCGCAUGAGGUGGCCAAAGUACUGGACAGAUGGCGUGUUCAGUAGUGCCCCACUAUUUGUGACCCCGUGCGCUAUAGCUGGCCAGGUUCUUCUAUCCAUGGAAUAAUUCAGGGGAGGAUGGUGGAGUGGGUAGCCAUUUCCUCCUCCAGGGGAUCUUCUAGACACAGGGAUCGAAUCCAUGUCUCUUGUAUGUCCUGCAUUGGUGGGGGAAUUCAUUACCACUGUGCCACCUGGGAAGCCCAAUUCUCUGGAUGAUAAGCCCCCAAUCUAGCUCUUAUAACUAGCUCCUUUCCUCUUGCCUGUGUGUGGCCUGGUGACAAUUUUCUGUUCAGAAAACAUCUGGGUAUCCCGUUAUCCAGGGCUCCCCACAAUUCCAUUCAUGUCCAUCUAUUGCUGCCGGGGUGUGAGGGGGAGAGCAAAGGCUAUAAAGAGAUAGGACAACUUCUCUUCACUGCGAACAUCAAGGAGCGAGUACUGUUGGGCCUCCUGUUUUGCAUCAAAUAUUCAUCACUACAUUACAUGUGGAGGGCAUUUAUACAAAACAUGUUAGUGAGCAAAACCCAGGAGAGCAUCAUUUCUGCCUUAAAUAGCAAAGGAAGUGAGGAUGAAGCUCUGUAGGCACUUUAGAUGGAGAAACAGAUCAGGCUGAGGUCCUGGCUCUUCCCUAAUGUCACAGGGGCUCUGAGAAAGGCUCAGUGCCUCAGUUUCCCACUGUAAGCCAAGAAUGUUGGAUAAAGUAGCUUUAGGAACAAGUUUAGCUCUACAUUUAUAUGAUUUGUCUGGACCCUCUUAAAAUUUCUAUCCAAAGGUACAUCCUCUGAGGAUUUAGUUGUUAGCAUAUAAAUGCCCAGGAAGAAGUCUCAGAUGGGCCUUCAAAUGUCUGAUUGACUUGUAUUAGUGAUGUGUAUUCAUUCUCUGUUGUGAAGUACAUCACUCCAAAACAACACGUGUCAUCUCCCAGUCUCCACGGGUCAGGAUGUCAGGUGUCAGAUGGGGCUGCCGUCUCACCUGCUGGCUCAGCUGGGGGAGGAUUGAUCUGCUUUCUGCUCAGGUGUGUGGUCGCGGGCAGACCUCGGUUCCUCAUGGGCUGAAGGAUGGAAGGCCUCCGCUUCUUCCUGUGGGCGUCCACAGGGAGCCCCAACAUGGCAGCUUCCUUCAUCAGAAGGGAACUGU